This 393-nucleotide long non-coding RNA is filed under the name Rattus norvegicus (Norway rat). Its description in RNAcentral is "long non-coding RNA NONRATT009505". The record is from RNAcentral. Lineage: Eukaryota; Metazoa; Chordata; Mammalia; Rodentia; Muridae.
AAGGGCCCUCUAAUUCUACUGCUGAGUAUAGAGCCUCAGGAAUGCUCCCUUUCCCUGGGAAUGGUCCUGACUGACAUCAGGCACCUCCUGCCCGUCUCCCACACAGGUGGAAAAGCCACACAUCUUAAGCAACACUAGGAAUCUAAGGACUCGGUGUCUGUGCAUCCACAUGAAAGUUCCUCUCCGUUUAUGGUGCUGCUUGCCCAAGAUGACUUAGAAACCUGGCCUGGGGGACCUGGCUACCUGGCCUGUGUGUUCUCGCCAGCUUGUUCUGGUGAUUGAGAAAGAUGAACUGGUGUGUUUCCUCACUUUGAUUCUGUCUGCCCAGGACCUUUAUUCUGAGAGAAUGUGUGUUUGUGUGUUUGUGUCUUUCCCCCAUCUUUUCCCCUCUGU